GCCUAUGAUGAUUUAAUCCAACUUUUUUGAGGUGUUGUGGAACCAAGAUCCUGUUUUACAGGGUGAACCUACUUGGUGAAACUACAUUCAUAUGAUAUUAUUGGAUUUAACUGAGGC
This 117-nucleotide small nucleolar RNA is filed under the name Trifolium pratense (red clover). Its description in RNAcentral is "snoRNA snoZ278". It matches the Rfam family "Small nucleolar RNA Z278". From Rfam's summary of the family: snoZ278 is a C/D box small nucleolar RNA. Lineage: Eukaryota; Viridiplantae; Streptophyta; Magnoliopsida; Fabales; Fabaceae. The record is from RNAcentral.